Molecule: long non-coding RNA, 1235 nt
Organism: Podarcis muralis (Common wall lizard)
Lineage: Eukaryota; Metazoa; Chordata; Lepidosauria; Squamata; Lacertidae
Source: RefSeq, a predicted model, not a curated record
GGUCAUCUGCCUCAUCAAGCCCAGGUGCUGCAAUCAGCAGGCAAAACAGCAAAGGGAAGCAAAGCUAAAGGGCUGUGUUUGCUCAACUGCCCACAUCGACAGAUCUUGAUUUGGCUGUUCCUGGACUGUGUUUCAGGUCUGAUUCUGCACUGUAUCCUGACUGCUGGAUUUCAGAGCUGGCUACUUGGAUUGACCCUGGACUGCAUUUCCUCACCUUUGGACUUUGCUUGUGUGGAUUGGACCCACCCCCAACCAAAUUUGAAUUUUGGACUUGACUUGCUGCAAGAACUAUCCUUCAGGCAGUAAAGCGCCAAGCAACGAUUAAAGAUUUGCUGCAGUCGCGAAGUCUGGCUGGACGGAGUGCCCCCAACAGUUCCAACGCCUCCACUGAACUGUUUAACAAACACGGCGCAUUGAAAAUACUGAGAGGGUGUGCUAGGAUAACUAUGCCAUGGCUGAAUUAACAACAACAACAACAACCACAUCACCCUGGAAAAUCAUUACUUUGGCUGCACUGCAAAAUUUGGAGAAGGGCAAAAUUUGAAGGGAGGUUAUGUGUUUCAGUUCACACCUCAUUUCAGAAAUUCAAAUGAGGAAACCUGGCUAGCUGUGAAACCUGUGACCUCUUUAGCAACGUAGCAUCACCCUGUCACCGCCAUGGAUAUGAAUAGAUAUUACAAUUCACAGAGGAGAUGAAGCUACAGUACCAUCCGAUUCUUGGUUCGAGCUGGGUCAGCUGGCAAGUCUCCAGUUCCUGAAUCAAGCUUGGAAUAUGGAUGUAGGUGGAAUUUUGGUUCAGACAUUCCAUUCCAGCCUCUUGCUGGAGGCAUUGCAGGGUCGUGCCAGGGUUAUGGCCUCCCCAAGACGUUGAUCCACUGAGUUGGCCACCCCAAGACCGCAGAGUGCAAGAAGCCCCAACAGCCGCCCACCCAGAGGAAGGGGUAAGCAUCCAUUAUCUUCCUUAGUGGGUUGGGCAAAGAACUAUUCUAAACGAUGCUUUCUAUAGGAUAGGGAAAAUUAGUUUAUGGAACCACCCAAAAAAGUUUGGGAACCACUGCUUUAAAGCUUGACUGACAAAAGGACACACCCAAGACCAACAGUGUAGCUUUAUCUGCAAUACUGUUGGGUUUUUGAUACUUUCUAGAAAGCACGUGGUCCAAGCCUCACAAGUUCAAGACUGUUUAAAUUACACAAACUCUUGAUAUAUAUAUAUUUUAAAAAAAUUUUUAUGGGUU